GCCUGUUUCCUCUCAGUACUUGAGGCUGGGGAAAGUCUGUGUUACCUUCUGCACUUUCCAGGAGCCCAGGCUGCACAGGAAGUAAUGCUUUAUCACAGAAUAAUGCAUCCUGGGAAUGUGCAUAAGUCAACGUCCAAUACAGGAGCCCUUAUGUGACAACCUUUCACCUGCAGAUUCUGAGACGGAUGUAGAUUCUGUACCCAGGAGGUACAGCAGGUGGGUGUGGUAACAAGUGAAAUUCAACACUAAAUAAUAUAUUAAUAUAACACAUUUUCCUGUGUGUGCAUGCAUGUUUGUGAGUAUUCAUGUGGUGGUGGUGGGGUGCACAUACACAAAUGUAGGUGUGUCAGAGUCUCUCAGUCAAACCCAGAGCUCACUAAGCUGCAUUGCUUUCUCUGAGGAGCCAUUGAGCCUUGUCCUAGCGCAGUGUGUAACAUAUUCCUUAAAAAACUGUGUGUGGAUGCUUUACCUGCAUGUACGUCUGAGCACUACAUGGGUGUCUGGUGCCCACAGAGGCCAGAAGAGGGCAUUGGAUCCCUCGGGGCUGGAGUUACAGACAAUUGUGAGCAGCCAUGUGGGUGCUGGGGAUCAAACCCAGGUCCUCUGGAAGAGAAGGUGGUGUUCUUAACCACUGAGCCAUCUCCCACUCCCCUCAAUGUAAUGCAUUUUUUAAAAAUCAAAAUGAAUGCAAAAAAUCAAAUGAUGUGUAAAAUAAUCAAGCAUUUAAAUAAAGGCUGGCUCCAACUCACACAUGGUUUAUUCCCUUUCCCUGGUCCAGUCCUGCCGACUUACUCUAAAGAGAGUUUGAACACCAGUUUCCAUUUGAUUACCUGCUAGGUGACGUUAGGUUAAGUGACUGGAAGGCCUUGAGCCUCCAUUACCUCAUCUGUGAAAUGCGAGAAAUGAUCAACCUUAAAAGUUGUCCUGAGGGUUAAAUGGGGGACCGCCUCCGAUGUCACACCAGCCCUUCGUCCUAAGCUUUAUAGGAGCCAUCGUGAACCAGAAAUAAUCUCUAAAGCACCAAAUCCAACUGCCUGUCCACGGCCAACAUGCAUGCCUGCUGAAUACUUAGAUUAACUAUGGGAACGGAAGUGCGUUCAGGGCUCUCAGCUGACGGGUAACGCUGAUGUCCACACAGGAUGUGAAGAGGCACCAGUCUCAUCAGAGGCUGGAAACGCAGAUCUCUGGGACCCUGGACCAGAACUAUCGACAAGAAACAGAUGAAGAACACGGAAGGGAAAUGGGAAGCGAGCAGCAUAUUUAAACAGGGACUUUCACACAAGAAGAAAUACAAAGGACCAGCCAUCCCUGGAGCCAUGUUCUACCUCAGUGAGAGUCAGAGAAGUCCAAGAGGAAUUACGUAAAAGUCCUAACUUCUAAAAGUCACAAUCCCCAGUCGUAGCAGAGGCCGGUGGGGGCGGUCCACACUUGCUGGAAGGACAGCAGGUACAGCAGGAGGAAGCUUCUCUGAUGAUGGUUGAACAAGA
Peromyscus eremicus (cactus mouse) is the source of this 1487-nucleotide long non-coding RNA. RefSeq lists it as uncharacterized. The transcript has 3 exons. The record is from RefSeq and is a predicted model, not a curated record. NCBI's taxonomy places the organism in Eukaryota, Metazoa, Chordata, Mammalia, Rodentia, Cricetidae.